GACGAACGCUGGCGGCGUGCUUAACACAUGCAAGUCGAACGCUGAAGCUUGGUGCUUGCCCUGGGUGGAUGAGUGGCGAACGGGUGAGUAAUACGUGAGUAACCUGCCCUUGACUCUGGGAUAAGCCUGGGAAACUGGGUCUAAUACUGGAUAUGACAUGCCACUGCAUGGUGGUGUGUGGAAAGGGUUUUACUGGUUUUGGAUGGGCUCACGGCCUAUCAGCUUGUUGGUGGGGUAAUGGCCUACCAAGGCGACGACGGGUAGCCGGCCUGAGAGGGUGACCGGCCACACUGGGACUGAGACACGGCCCAGACUCCUACGGGAGGCAGCGGUGGGGAAUAUUGCACAAUGGGCGGAAGCCUGAUGCAGCGACGCCGCGUGAGGGAUGACGGCCUUCGGGUUGUAAACCUCUUUCAGCACGGAAGAAGCGAGAGUGACGGUACGUGCAGAAGAAGCGCCGGCUAACUACGUG
RNAcentral lists this ribosomal RNA (472 nucleotides) under uncultured bacterium. Its description in RNAcentral is "partial 16S ribosomal RNA". It matches the Rfam family "Bacterial small subunit ribosomal RNA", at positions 28 to 507 of the family's 1533-position model. The record is from RNAcentral.